Molecule: ribosomal RNA, 1321 nt
Filed under: metagenome
Description: bacterial LSU rRNA
Rfam family: Bacterial large subunit ribosomal RNA
Source: RNAcentral
UGUUAGUUGGCAUGGCGCCCGUACCCCAAACCGACACAGGUGGGCAGGUAGAGAAUACCAAGGCGAUCGGGAGAACUGUGGUUAAGGAACUCGGCAAAAUACCUCCGUAACUUCGGGAGAAGGAGGGCCUCGUUAGGGUGAUGGACCUCGCGUCCUGAGCUCGAGGAGGCCGCAGUGACCAGGGGAAAGCGACUGUUUACUAAAAACACAGCAGCGUGCUAAGCCGUAAGGCGAUGUAUACGCUGUGACGCCUGCCCGGUGCCGGAAGGUUACGGGGAAGGGUUAGCCGCAAGGCGAAGCUCUGAACCUAAGCCCCGGUAAACGGCGGCGGUAACUAUAACCGUCCUAAGGUAGCGAAAUUCCUUGUCGGGUAAGUUCCGACCAGCACGAAUGGCGUAACGACUUUCCUACUGUCUCAACCACAGACCCGGCGAAAUUGAAGUACGAGUAAAGAUGCUCGUUAGCUGCAGCAGGACGGAAAGACCCCGUGCACCUUUACUACAACUUGGUAUUGGGUUUUGUUAUGCGCUGUGUAGGAUAGGUGGGAGACUUGGAAGCAUUGGCGCCAGCCAGUGUGGAGUCACCCUUGAAAUACCACCCUGCGUAUGACGGGACUCUAACCUUCGUCCGUGAUCCGGAUGGGGGACAGUGCCAGGCGGGUAGUUUGACUGGGGCGGUCGCCUCCUAAAUUGUAACGGAGGCGCGCAAAGGUUCCCUCAGCCUGGUUGGCAAUCAGGCGUCGAGUGCAAUCGCACAAGGGAGCUUGACUGCGAGACCUACAAGUCAAGCAGGUACGAAAGUAGGCGAUAGUGAUCCGGCGGCUCCUUGUGGAAGGGCCGUCGCUCAACGGAUAAAAGGUACGCCGGGGAUAACAGGCUCAUCUUCCCCAAGAGUCCAUAUCGACGGGAAGGUUUGGCACCUCGAUGUCGGCCCAUCGCAUCCUGGGGCUGAAGCAGGUCCCAAGGGUUGGGCUGUUCGCCCAUUAAAGCGGUACGCGAGCUGGGUUUAGAACGUCGUGAGACAGUUCGGUCCCUAUCCGCUGCAGCCGGAGGAAACUUGAGGAAGGCUGUCCCUAGUACGAGAGGACCGGGACGGACGCAGCUCUCGUGUGCCAGUUGUCCUGCCAAGGGCACUGCUGGUUAGCGACCUGCGGAAGGGAUAAGUGCUGAAAGCAUCUAAGUACGAAGCCCGUUCCAAGAUGAGGUUUCCCACUGGGUCAACCAGGUAAGGCCCGUGACAGACCAUCACGUUGAUAGGCCGGAGGUGUACGCACAGCAAUGUGUUCAGCCGACCGGUACUAAUCGGCCGAGGGCUUGGAUCG